This 254-nucleotide ribosomal RNA is filed under the name uncultured Gemmatimonas sp. Its description in RNAcentral is "partial 16S ribosomal RNA". It matches the Rfam family "Bacterial small subunit ribosomal RNA", at positions 355 to 608 of the family's 1533-position model. The record is from RNAcentral. Lineage: Bacteria; Pseudomonadati; Gemmatimonadota; Gemmatimonadia; Gemmatimonadales; Gemmatimonadaceae.
UGGGGAAUCUUGCGCAAUGGCCGAAAGGCUGACGCAGCGACGCCGCGUGUGGGAGGACGCCUUUCGGGGUGUAAACCACUGUUGCCCGGGACGAACACGUGGUUUCGACCACGCUGACGGUACCGGGUGAGGAAGCACCGGCUAACUCCGUGCCAGCAGCCGCGGUAAUACGGAGGGUGCGAGCGUUGUCCGGAAUCAUUGGGCGUAAAGGGCGCGUAGGUGGCCCUGGUAAGCGUGCGGUGAAAGCUCGGGGC